Molecule: long non-coding RNA, 1243 nt
Filed under: Homo sapiens (human)
Lineage: Eukaryota; Metazoa; Chordata; Mammalia; Primates; Hominidae
Description: long intergenic non-protein coding RNA 1204
Source: RNAcentral
ACAUUUUAGCUUGCUUGUUGCUGGGGAAAAGACUUGCUGCUUUGUGUUUCAUUUGAUGAAGAUGUCUCAAUAGAACCUCUUGGAGGAACAGACCAGCCUCAAAGAUAUAUGGGAAGGCACAACACCAAAAUGAUGCUGCAGGAUGGGUCCAGAAAGGAUGCCACCAUUGUGACCACUGGGCACAGACACCACAAAUUGUCCCAUUGAUCCUGGACAUGGAUGCUGAACUGCUGCCAUCACUGCCCCUGAAAGUCAUUGCUUCUGCCAUCAUUUUCUUUAGAGACUGCUUCCAUAAGUCAGGAUUCCAGUCACAGCUUAGCUGGAUCCUCUCAGAAGGCUACGAUCAAGGUGUCAGCCAGACUGAGUUCUCAUCAGAGGCUCGACUAGGAGAGGAUCUGCUUCCAAGUUCCCUCAGGUUGUUGGAAGGAUUCAUUUUCUUGUGGCUAAGCUCACAGGAGCUUUCUUCUUCAAGGGCAUCAGGAGAGUGGAGAGCGAGUCUACUCAAAGACUUCUAUACAAAUCAUAAGACAUCAAGUACUCUUCAACUGCCUAUUGGGAGACAAUUUCCACAGCUCUCUCAUGUUUCUGCACAACUUGUAAGCAAGACAAGACUCUCUUAUCUUCUGGACUCUAUUUUCAAGAAUACUCAUAUAGUGAACAGUGUCUUCUUCCUGAGCGAAGGGCAUAAAUGCUACUUUCCAUUUUAAAAGAUUCAAGUUCCCUAAGCUCGGAAUUCUUCUGUAAUGCAACCCAUUGUGUGUGCAGGUAUCACCUGGCAUUCUUCCCAUUACCCUGUGGGAAUUGGAGCUCAGGGAACCUUCAUAGAAAUUCUGAUAGUCUAGCUACUGCUAUUUCUAUGAGUAAUAAAUUGUUUCUGACCUAGAAGUCUUGUGUCUUCUGCUGGCACCCAUGAAAUUAUGAGGCUAAAUUGUUAGAUUACAAGUGAGGUAAAAUCUUGGACGCUUCCCAGUUCUUGACACUGACUAAAAUACAUGCAUAUUCGUUUUAUCAAGUCAGUUUGAAAAAAAAUCUAUGAAUUAAAAUAAUUACAAAAUUCUAAGGACUGAAUUUGUAAUAUAUUGGAUGAACAAAACCCUCUACCUUGGUUCUGAAAUUCUUGAUAGUUGAGAUAUGUGUAACAUUUGUAAUUUGAAAUACACAAGUAAUUCUCUAUUUAAAAGGUCAUAUAUCCAAAGUAUUGAAAAAUCUAGAAUACAUUAAACUUUAGCUAUCCAUGGUGAAA